AAAUCUCUCUCUCUGAUAAACCUCCUCCUAAAGACUUCAAAAUCCUCAAAAGCUUAAAAGACAAAAUAACUUCCAAUAACCUAGUUUUUUCUAAAGCAGACAAAGGUAACACAGUUGUAAUCUUAGAUAAAGAAGCUUAUACUACCAAAGUCUUGGAGUUUUUGGAGAGCGGAAGUUUUAAACUACUUAAAGGGGACCCAACAACUAAAUUUACAUCAAUACUCAAGUCAGUUCUCUCUUCUACCUCCCACACUUUAGAAUUUUUCAACUACAAUAAAUACAGCUUAAUACCUAUGAAUCCUGCCACCCCCAGAUUGUAUGGCCUCCCGAAAAUUCAUAAACCAAACUGCCCCAUCAGACCAGUUGUGUCUUUCACCAAUUCACCUUGCCAUAAACUAGCACCUUUCUUGAACAAUGUCAUAAGAAAAUCAAUCAAUUUUAACAACACUUUUUCCAUCAAAAAUUCAAAAGACCUAUGUGACAAGAUAAAAGAUUUAGUAAUACCGUCCAACAGUUUUUUAGUAUCCUUUGAUGUUUCUAACCUCUUCCCGUCAAUUCCUCCUUCAGAAUGCGUUUCAAUUUUAAGAAAUUUUCUUUUGGAUUCAAAAUUAAAUAUUACUUACUCUUCAGACCUUUUAACUUUAACCGAAUUAGUAACAAGACAAAACUUUUUUCAAUUUAACAACCAAUUUUUUGAACAAACAUCCGGUCUAGCCAUGGGUUCUUCUUUAUCACCCCUUCUAGCUGAACUGUUUAUGAACAACUUGGAACAAAAGAUCUUAUCCCACAAGUUAGCAGACCAAGUAUUCUUUUGGCAUAGAUAUGUCGAUGACGUCUUGGUUCUUUUUGAAGGUUCCGAAACCGAUUUAUCUAAUCUUCUUAAUUUCAUUAACACAAUCCAUCCCUCAAUUAAAUUCACCUUAGAAAUCGAACAAAACAAUAAAUUACCCUUUUUAGAUUUGCUGAUUAUUAGACACAACAAUCAUUUAGAGUUUGAAAUUUUUAGAAAACCUACCACCACAGAUACUUUGAUUCCGUUCGAUUCUCACUCACCAUAUCAAUAUAAGUUCGCAGCAUUCAAUUCAUUUUUUCAUAGACUUUUUAAUUUACCCCUGACCCCAAGAGCCUUCAAAAAGGAGAAAGACACCAUCUUUCAAAUUGGCGUCAAUAACGGUUUUCCUCCAUAUUUAAUCCAAAAAAUCUUUAAUUAAUUUGAAAUUAAAUUCUCUCGCACUUUUCAUUUAAUAAACUCCAAUCGGGAAGAGGUCCGUUUUUGUCAUUCUUUACCAUACAUAGGUCCAUUCUCAAGUAAACUAACAUCUUUAUUUAGAAAACAUGACAUAAAAGUGAUUUUUAGCCGUGGCAACGACCUUUCUUCCUCUCUGGUAAAAAAACAAAGACAAAAUAAUCAUAGGUAACCACUCAGGAGUCUAUAAAUUAACUUGUGAAGACUGUAACGCUUUCUAUAUAGGCCAGACAGGUAGAAAGAUCAUUACCAGGGUCCUAGAACAUAAAGGAUACAUGGUGAAAGAAAUUCGAGAAAAAACGAACCCACCCUUUAAAACAAAAUCUGAAUUUUCGGACCAUCUAUUAAAUAACCAACAUUUUUGCAAUUUUAACAACUUUGAAGUUUUACACAUAUGCAACAAAAGCCGCAAACUCAACAAUCUAGAAAUAUUGGAAAUUUACAAACAUCUUUCUCUUCACAACUCCACUUGCGUGAAUGAACAAACCAAUUUUAACAAACCCUUAUUAAAUAAUUUCUUCAAUAUAUCAUAACUUGACAAUCUACUUUUCAACAUGUUCCAAAUCUCGUUAUAAUUAUUCUAGUUUUGCAAAAUUGUUUUUCUAAAUUUUGAUAUUUUACAGAUCCCUCUUUUAACCUUCUACUUUCUCCGUUAGAGGGCGGAGUUUCAUUGUACAAUUUUUUAAGUCAUUCAUUUUGUAGUUCCUUUUACAUUUCACUUUUCAACUCGACAAGAUGUAACCUUCCUUCUUUUUGAAAAAUUUUAUUAAUUUGUAACUUUUUUAUUGUUUUGUUCUUAAAAAACACGUAAAUGUAAAUUCUUACGUAGUUUUAUCCUGUGUUUUUUAAAAUGUUUUGACUGCUGAUGAUGGUAUAAAUAAAUACCGAAACUAGUCCAAUUCCUUCUCUUUAUUUCCACUUUGGUUAGGCUUGGACUUUAAGUUAUCCAUUUAUUCAAUUUGAAA
Long non-coding RNA from Tribolium castaneum (red flour beetle), 2211 nucleotides. RefSeq lists it as uncharacterized. The record is from RefSeq and is a predicted model, not a curated record. The transcript has 2 exons. NCBI's taxonomy places the organism in Eukaryota, Metazoa, Arthropoda, Insecta, Coleoptera, Tenebrionidae.